UGGUUAGCGACAUUGCUGGUGC
RNAcentral lists this microRNA (22 nucleotides) under Pristionchus pacificus. RNAcentral describes it as "ppc-miR-8300-3p". The record is from miRBase by way of RNAcentral. Lineage: Eukaryota; Metazoa; Nematoda; Chromadorea; Rhabditida; Neodiplogasteridae.